CCUACGGGGGGCAGCAGUGAGGAAUAUUGGUCAAUGGGCGCUAGCCUGAACCAGCCAAGUAGCGUGAAGGAUGACUGCCCUAUGGGUUGUAAACUUCUUUUAUAUGGGAAUAAAGUGCAGUAUGUAUACUGCUUUGCAUGUACCUUAUGAAUAAGGAUCGGCUAACUCCGUGCCAGCAGCCGCGGUAAUACGGAGGAUCCGAGCGUUAUCCGGAUUUAUUGGGUUUAAAGGGAGCGUAGGCGGGUUGUUAAGUCAGUUGUGAAAGUUUGCGGCUCAACCGUAAAAUUGCAGUUGAUACUGGCAGCCUUGAGUACAGUAGAGGUAGGCGGAAUUCGUGGUGUAGCGGUGAAAUGCUUAGAGAUCACGAAGAACUCCGAUUGCGAAGGCAGCCUGCUGGACUGUAACUGACGCUGAUGCUCGAAAGUGUGGGUAUCAAACAGGAUUAGAUACCCUGGUAGUC
Molecule: ribosomal RNA, 460 nt
Filed under: uncultured bacterium
Lineage: Bacteria
Description: partial 16S ribosomal RNA
Rfam family: Bacterial small subunit ribosomal RNA
Source: RNAcentral